GAAACACAAUGGAAAAAAACAAUUAAAAACAAUAAAAAUUAAAAAAAGGAAAGAGUCACCACUUGCUUUGCUUCCUGUUUGUCCCCAUGGCAAACUUUUUU
This 101-nucleotide non-coding RNA is filed under the name Palpitomonas bilix. The record is from RNAcentral.